UACGUAGGGUGCAGGCGUUAAUCGGAAUUACUGGGCGUAAAGCGUGCGCAGGCGGUCUUUUAAGUCAGAUGUGAAAUCCCCGGGCUUAACCUGGGAACUGCGUUUGAAACUGGAAGGCUAGAGUGUGGCAGAGGGGGGUGGAAUUCCACGUGUAGCAGUGAAAUGCGUAGAUAUGUGGAGGAACACCGAUGGCGAAGGCAAUCCCCUGGACCUGUACUGACGCUCAUGCACGAAAGCGUGGGGGGCAAACAGG
Molecule: ribosomal RNA, 253 nt
Filed under: uncultured bacterium
Lineage: Bacteria
Description: partial 16S ribosomal RNA
Rfam family: Bacterial small subunit ribosomal RNA
Source: RNAcentral